RNAcentral lists this ribosomal RNA (414 nucleotides) under uncultured microorganism. RNAcentral describes it as "bacterial SSU rRNA". It matches the Rfam family "Bacterial small subunit ribosomal RNA", at positions 9 to 419 of the family's 1533-position model. The record is from RNAcentral.
GAGUUUGAUCGUGGCUCAGAUUGAACGCUGGCGGCAUGCCUUACACAUGCAAGUCUAACGGCAGCAUGAUCUAGCUUGCUAGAUUGAUGGCGAGUGGCGAACGGGUGAGUAAUACAUCGGAACGUGCCCUGUAGUGGGGGAUAACUAGUCGAAAGAUUAGCUAAUACCGCAUACGACCUGAGGGUGAAAGUGGGGGACCGCAAGGCCUCAUGCUAUAGGAGCGGCCGAUGUCUGAUUAGCUAGUUGGUGGGGUAAAGGCCCACCAAGGCGACGAUCAGUAGCUGGUCUGAGAGGACGAUCAGCCACACUGGGACUGAGACACGGCCCAGACUCCUACGGGAGGCAGCAGUGGGGAAUUUUGGACAAUGGGCGAAAGCCUGAUCCAGCGAUGCCGCGUGUGUGAAGAAGGCCUGG